Molecule: ribosomal RNA, 171 nt
Filed under: uncultured bacterium
Lineage: Bacteria
Description: partial 16S ribosomal RNA
Source: RNAcentral
CACGCCCUAAACGAUGAUUACUCGACAUACGCGAUACACUGUGUGUGUCUGAGCGAAAGCAUUAAGUAAUCCACCUGGGAAGUACNUACGCGAGGAACCUUACCUGGGCUAGAAUGCCACUUGACCGAUCCUGAAAGGGGUUUUUGUAGCAAUACACAGGUGGUAAGGUGC